RNAcentral lists this long non-coding RNA (232 nucleotides) under Lathyrus oleraceus (garden pea). RNAcentral's name for it is "Pisum sativum (pea) long non-coding RNA (PSAT_LNC019408)". The record is from RNAcentral. Lineage: Eukaryota; Viridiplantae; Streptophyta; Magnoliopsida; Fabales; Fabaceae.
AAUGACCAAUUUGCUUGAAAUAGGGGCAACAUAUCCAUACUUUAAAGUACCAUGGAUGAACUCAUGGUCAUCUAAUGGUAGGUUUGAAGUAUGAAAGGUUUUUACCAACCCUAAAUCAAGCAUAUCAUGACUUAAGUAGUUUUCAUUAGUCCUUCACUUCAAUACCUCAUAAGUCCAUAAAUAAAUGCUCAAAUUAAAUAAAUAAGGUCACCAUUAAAUUCUAGAGACAAAA